GCUCAGAGUAUAAGCCAAUGGAGCUUGGAAGGCUUCCGCAGCCGGGUUCAUCAUACGUGGUGUCCUUAAGACCUUGAGUAAAGCUCGUCAGGCGUCAGAUUUGAGUUUGCCAGAGUUUAGCUGUCGUGCGGGGGCUUAGCGAGGGGGGACUUUGCUUCGGCUUAGCUAUCUCCCGAGCGGCCCUUUGGAAUGGACGUUCAGAGGCUCUUGGUCUAAUGCGGUUAUGCCCACCACAGCACGUUGUGAGGUCACCCACAGGCUCAAACUGCCGAUCGCGCAUCCAGGACGAUGGCAACGAUGCGUUGUUGAUGAUGGCUCGAAAGAGACUUGACUCAGACGCGUGUCUAGUCCUGGGUCGGGCGGCGACCGAGAUAAACCUGGUAUGAUCCUCUUGCGACGAGCUGCUUUCUGGCCAGACCGACGUCCGGGCGCUUCCACUGUGCCGGAAGUGUCUAUCCCAGGCGGUCUUGACCCAGCUGCAUUAUGCAAGGUCUCUCAGCCGGGCGUUGGUCUGAGUGGUGUUAAGUCCAGCACCAUUGGUCACGUCUCGAAACACGGGCCAAGGAGUAUAGCAUGUGUGCAAGUCUAAGGGUCUCACAAAACCCGAAGGCGAAGUGAAAGCAAGACUGUGGCGGGUGAGCUACGGCAAACCCGCCGGCCUGGUGGCGCGUGCGUCGCCGGCUUAAACAGAGCUGAUCCUGUUUUCUCGGUUAAUUCUUGGUGCAGGCGCAAGCUCCGGGCUCACGUACAACACUGGUCACGCCUCGUG
Molecule: ribosomal RNA, 769 nt
Filed under: Niphargus sphagnicolus
Lineage: Eukaryota; Metazoa; Arthropoda; Malacostraca; Amphipoda; Niphargidae
Description: partial 28S ribosomal RNA
Source: RNAcentral